Molecule: ribosomal RNA, 285 nt
Filed under: uncultured soil bacterium
Lineage: Bacteria
Description: partial 16S ribosomal RNA
Rfam family: Bacterial small subunit ribosomal RNA
Source: RNAcentral
AGAUUGAACGCUGGCGGCAGGCCUAACACAUGCAAGUCGAGCGGUAGAGAGGUGCUUGCAUCUCUUGAGAGCGGCGGACGGGUGAGUAAUGCCUAGGAAUCUGCCUAGUGGUGGGGGAUAACGUUCGGAAACGGACGCUAAUACCGCAUACGUCCUACGGGAGAAAGCGGGGGACCUUCGGGCCUCGCGCCAUUGGAUGAGCCUAGGUCGGAUUAGCUAGUUGGUGAGGUAAUGGCUCACCAAGGCGACGAUCCGUAACUGGUCUGAGAGGAUGAUCAGUCACAC